This 3120-nucleotide long non-coding RNA is filed under the name Nicotiana tabacum (common tobacco). RNAcentral describes it as "long non-coding RNA (NTAB_LNC018241)". Lineage: Eukaryota; Viridiplantae; Streptophyta; Magnoliopsida; Solanales; Solanaceae. The record is from RNAcentral.
UAAAUCCUUUUCAUAAACAUCUAACCUCGAAUGCUUGGGAUUAGGCUCGAUUGAUUGAAUUACUGAGAGUUAGUAUCCUCAAAGUAAUGCCUAAAUAUUUCGUCCACCCCAUAUUUUAAACAAAAACUGUUUGGAAAAUGCAAAUCUUACACGCACACCUACCACCCAUACCCUGGUCCACAUAACAUACUUCUGAAUGGAUUACGAGAGAUUUAUUUCACCAGGCUGUGCAUAAAUGUAUACGGUGCCUUCUAGGCUACUAAACUUUUAGACUCUGAAAGAUAGAGUAGUUAAGAUCUUAAAACAGUGAUGUAGCCAAAUUUGAAUUUAUCCAAUUUCUUAGAAAUAUUUUGAAUGGUGAGGAUGCAAAAGCUAAAGUUGGAGAUGGUAACUUAAGUCGGCACAAUUAUAAGUUCAUAACUAAAUUGAUUUUUACAUCUAACUUCUCCCAUACAUCAAAGUUCCUUUUUGAUCAUGCCACCUAUUUAAUAAAUGCACGAGUCACAAAUUUUGCUAAGGAAAAAUCUGCCACGUGAUGUUCUUAUCCAAAAUAUUUUAGAUAAUUAUCAAUUACCCGCAUAAUUAAGAAUUAUCUCAAAUUACUUAAAAUACUACUCUUUUUUAAUACAUUUUAUAUAUCUUACUAUAAGAUACUUUACUAUCAUGGUCAUGGGGUACUAUAUAAAAUUAAUACAUACACUAUUAUUUCAUUAAAACAUCUAUGUAAAAUUACAUAUAUUUUCUCAACUUCUAAUUUUCCUAAUUUCAUAUAAAGAGUACAAAUUCUUGUACGCUUAAAUUCUUAAAAUAGUAAAAAGAUAACCUUCUUUUCUAGUGAGAAAAUAAUUUAUAUAUUUACAAUAAAGACAAUAUCAUAAACUUUCUAAUAUUAUGUGUAUAGUUUAAAGCAUAUUCGGAAUUAAUAAUAUUAAUAACUAUAUAUAAAAUCAUAUUUUUCAAACUUAAUACAAAAAUAUUUCACUCAAAAUACCAUAUCAAAUGUAUGUAACGGUAUCAAUGUUGUUAAACUUACGGGGUCUUAUAAUAAUAUAGUCACAACUCCUUUAUAAUCUCAUGAAUGGUCUUAAUCCUUUCAAGCUUAUAUGGAUUACUACGACUUAUCCUAAUAUUAAAGUACGGGAUGUAACAUCCUUCCCCCCCUUUAGAAUAUUCGUCCUCGAAUGUUAACUCUUAGAGAUUUACAAAAUUUUUAUUAGGGUCUCCUCUGUAAACUAAUCUAAACCCUAAACUAUAUUUGAAGUCUUGACUAUUCACAACCUUUUGUAAUUGAGUAUCUCGUACCUUCUUCACCUUUACUUUACCUUACUUAUUUUUCAAUCUCGCAUCGUAUCUUCUGUUUCUUUAAUAACCUCCCUUCUACAUAGGUGAAAAUUACGCCUUAAAGCUCUAUUGUGAUACCUGCACCUCUGGUGCAUACAAAAUCUGGUGAAAGCUUUAUACUGACUUCUUACGACUCAGCUCUAUGGCACGAUUUGGAAACAAAAGAAGGGUAACAUUUCCUAAAUGCCCUAUAGCCUCUCAAUUAUAAAUGUGGUGCGCAACACAUCCAUAAGUGAGACUCUACUAGGCAUGGCUUUAUAGACUACCUAGGACACGAUCUGCUCUGAUACCACUUUGUCACGCCUCAAACCUAGGGAGGCGUGGCUGGCACCCGGUGCCGCACUGGCCCGAGCGAACCACUCUGUAACUCAUAAUCAUUCGACCAAAAUUAGAGCAUACAUAGGUCGAGUUGGAUGAACUCAUUCCUGUAGUAACUAUCAUGGGCCAACAUGGCCACAACUCAUAAUGUAUAUCUAUAAGUGGGCAACACGGUAUCACUGAAUCAUUUUUCUAUAAACAUGACUACGUAUGGGCCGUCAAGGCCUCUGACAUAUUGUACAAAAUUAACCUCUGUCUACAAAGUCUCUAAAAGUAUUAAACAUCAAAUAAGACAGGGUACCGGCCUACCCAUAAGUCUUUAGCAAAACUCUAACACGAUGACUCAUAAACUUGGAUNNNNNNNNNNNNNNNNNNNNNCCUGCAGGCAUGAAUGCAAUGUCCCCAAUAAAAGGACGUUAGUACGAAUAAUAUAUUGAGUAUGUAAGGCGAAAUUGAAGCAUAAUAAUAAGCCAUCAUUAAUUAAAGACAUAUAAGAAUCAACCUGAAUCUCUGAAGUGCCACCGUAUAUGCAUACUUAUUAUACUUACAUUUAUAAUGCUUCUCUUUGAGACUAUUUCUAUUAUCCAUAUCGUAUGAUGCAUGACUGUCCAACUGAUCAGUGGUAACUGCCCGACUGGCCAUAUCUCGAUGGUAAAUACAUAACUGCCCAACCGGUGGUAAAUAAUAAUACAUAACUGCCCAACCGGUGGUAACUGGAUGACCUGCCGUAGCUCGGUGGUAGAUGUAUAACUGCCCAACCGGCCGUAACUCGAUGGUAAAUGAAUUUAUAUGUCUGCCCAACCGGUGGUAAAUAAUGAUACAUAACUGUCCAACCGAUGGUAACUGCCCGACAGUCCGUAGCACAGUGGUAAAUAAAUAUGCAUGAAGAUGCAUGUAUUACCAUAUUAUAAACAUUAACAUCUCUAUCAUAUGCCUCAAUAGGGACUAGAUACAUACUUAGACAUGCUUGAAUAUCACUUUACCGGAAUGAAUAACAUAGACAUCCUUAACUGCUAAGAGUAGAACCACUUAUGGAAUAGCAUUACGUUUACGUAUCGUUACUUGGAUCAUGCCAAAAGAAAAGAAGGGAUGACCUUAACAUACCUCAAUUUCACUCUUUUGAUGACUACGACUAGUAAAUCCUUUUCAUAAACAUCUAACCUCGAAUGCUUGGGAUUAGGCUCGAUUGAUUGAAUUACUGAUAGCUGUAUCCUCAAAGUAAUGCCUAAAUAUUUCGUCCACCCCAUAUUCUAAACAAAAACUGUUUGGAAAAUACAAACCUUACACGCACACCUACUACCCAUACCUUGGUCCACAUAACAUACUUCUGAAUGGAUUACGAGAGAUUUAUUUCACUAGGCUGUGCACAAAUGUAUAUGGUGCCUUCUAGGCUACUAAACUUUUAGAGGCUGAAAGAUAGACUAGUUAAGCUCUUAAAACAGUGAUGUAGCCAGAUUUGAA